GAGUAAGAUUUGAUCCAGAAGCAAUCUCAACAUGAAGAUUCUUUAUUUGCUCUUUGCAUUCUUUUUCCUUGUGUUCCUCUCUGAACCAGGGAAUGCUGGCCGCCUGUGUCUUGAUGAAGGAGGGAACUGUUAUCCCCAAUGUCCUCCUGACUACAUCUCACUUGGAAAAGUAGAUUGCAGGGGAUACUGCUGUAAAAAAAAAUAAUGCCAUAUCCAUCUACAGGCCUGGAUAUCUUCAACAUCUGGCCAAUGAUCUGGCAUCUCCACCUGCUAUUGCUUUAUCUUCUUUUAUAUAAAUUGCUGUCUAUCAGUCUCUAAAACAUUUGUGCAUUGAAUUUGGCAAAAAAACAAAAACAAA
This is a long non-coding RNA of Crotalus tigris (Tiger rattlesnake), 358 nucleotides long. RefSeq lists it as uncharacterized. The transcript is spliced from 3 exons. The record is from RefSeq and is a predicted model, not a curated record. Lineage: Eukaryota; Metazoa; Chordata; Lepidosauria; Squamata; Viperidae.